CCUACAGGAGGCUGCAGUGGGGAAUAUUGGACAAUGGGGGGAACCCUGAUCCAGCCAUGCCGCGUGUGUGAAGAAGGCCCUCGGGUUGUAAAGCACUUUCAGUGAGGAAGAACGCCUGGUGGUUAAUACCCAUCAGGAAAGACAUCACUCACAGAAGAAGCACCGGCUAACUCCGUGCCAGCAGCCGCGGUAAUACGGAGGGUGCGAGCGUUAAUCGGAAUUACUGGGCGUAAAGCGCGCGUAGGUGGCUUGAUAAGCCGGUUGUGAAAGCCCCGGGCUCAACCUGGGAACGGCAUCCGGAACUGUCAAGCUAGAGUGCAGGAGAGGAAGGUAGAAUUCCCGGUGUAGCGGUGAAAUGCGUAGAGAUCGGGAGGAAUACCAGUGGCGAAGGCGGCCUUCUGGACUGACACUGACACUGAGGUGCGAAAGCGUGGGUAGCAAACAGGAUUAGAUACCCGGGUAGUC
This 465-nucleotide ribosomal RNA is filed under the name Vreelandella stevensii. Its description in RNAcentral is "partial 16S ribosomal RNA". It matches the Rfam family "Bacterial small subunit ribosomal RNA", at positions 338 to 795 of the family's 1533-position model. The record is from RNAcentral. Lineage: Bacteria; Pseudomonadati; Pseudomonadota; Gammaproteobacteria; Oceanospirillales; Halomonadaceae.